GACGAACGCUGGCGGCGUGCUUAACACAUGCAAGUCGAACGGAAAGGCCCUGCUUUUGUGGGGUGCUCGAGUGGCGAACGGGUGAGUAACACGUGAGUAACCUGCCCUUGACUUUGGGAUAACUUCAGGAAACUGGGGCUAAUACCGGAUAGGAGCUCCUGCUGCAUGGUGGGGGUUGGAAAGUUUCGGCGGUUGGGGAUGGACUCGCGGCUUAUCAGCUUGUUGGUGGGGUAGUGGCUUACCAAGGCUUUGACGGGUAGCCGGCCUGAGAGGGUGACCGGCCACAUUGGGAGUGAGGUACGGCCCAGACUCCUACGGGAGGCAGCAGUGGGGAAUAUUGCACAAUGGGCGGAAGCCUGAUGCAGCAACGCCGCGUGCGGGAUGACGGCCUUCGGGUUGUAAACCGCUUUCGCCUGUGACGAAGCGUGAGUGACGGUAAUGGGUAAAGAAGCACCGGCUAACUACGU
This 467-nucleotide ribosomal RNA is filed under the name uncultured bacterium. RNAcentral's name for it is "partial 16S ribosomal RNA". It matches the Rfam family "Bacterial small subunit ribosomal RNA", at positions 28 to 506 of the family's 1533-position model. The record is from RNAcentral.